GACGAACGCGGCGGCGUGCCUAAUACAUGCAAGUAGAACGCUGAAGGAGGAGCUUGCUUCUCUGGAUGAGUUGCGAACGGGUGAGUAACGCGUAGGUAACCUGCCUGGUAGCGGGGGAUAACUAUUGGAAACGAUAGCUAAUACCGCAUAAGAGUAGAUGUUGCAUGACAUUUGCUUAAAAGGUGCAAUUGCAUCACUACCAGAUGGACCUGCGUUGUAUUAGCUAGUUGGUGGGGUAACGGCUCACCAAGGCGACGAUACAUAGCCGACCUGAGAGGGUGAUCGGCCACACUGGGACUGAGACACGGCCCAGACUCCUACGGGAGGCAGCAGUAGGGAAUCUUCGGCAAUGGACGGAAGUCUGACCGAGCAACGCCGCGUGAGUGAAGAAGGUUUUCGGAUCGUAAAGCUCUGUUGUAAGAGAAGAACGAGUGUGAGAGUGGAAAAGUUCACCACUGGGGACCGGU
RNAcentral lists this ribosomal RNA (467 nucleotides) under Streptococcus mitis. RNAcentral describes it as "bacterial SSU rRNA". It matches the Rfam family "Bacterial small subunit ribosomal RNA", at positions 28 to 477 of the family's 1533-position model. The record is from RNAcentral. Lineage: Bacteria; Bacillati; Bacillota; Bacilli; Lactobacillales; Streptococcaceae.